ACUUUUGGCAGGGAAGAAAAGGCUCUGGCUAAUACCUGGAGCUGCUGACGGUACCUGCAGAAUAAGCACCGGCUAACUACGUGCCAGCAGCCGCGGUAAUACGUAGGGUGCAAGCGUUAAUCGGAAUUACUGGGCGUAAAGCGUGCGCAGGCGGUUCGGCAAGAAGGAUGUGAAAUCCCGGGGCUUAACCUCGGAACUGCAUUCUUAACUGCCGGGCUAGAGUAUGUCAGAGGGGGGUAGAAUUCCACGUGUAGCAGUGAAAUGCGUAGAGAUGUGGAGGAAUACCGAUGGCGAAGGCAGCCCCCUGGGAUAAUACUGACGCUCAUGCACGAAAGCGUGGGGAGCAAACAGGAUUAGAUACCCUGGUAGUCCACGCCCUAAACGAUGUCAACUAGCUGUUGGGGCCUUCGGGCCUUAGUAGCGCAGCUAACGCGUGAAGUUGACCGCCUGGGGAGUACGGUCGCAAGAUUAAAACUCAAAGGAAUUGACGGGGACCCGCACAAGCGGUGGAUGAUGUGGAUUAAUUCGAUGCAACGCGAAAAACCUUACCUACCCUUGACAUGUCUGGAAUCCCGAAGAGAUUUGGGAGUGCUCGCAAGAGAACCGGAACACAGGUGCUG
This 620-nucleotide ribosomal RNA is filed under the name uncultured Pusillimonas sp. Its description in RNAcentral is "bacterial SSU rRNA". It matches the Rfam family "Bacterial small subunit ribosomal RNA", at positions 432 to 1043 of the family's 1533-position model. The record is from RNAcentral. Lineage: Bacteria; Pseudomonadati; Pseudomonadota; Betaproteobacteria; Burkholderiales; Alcaligenaceae.